RNAcentral lists this ribosomal RNA (1142 nucleotides) under human gut metagenome. RNAcentral's name for it is "bacterial LSU rRNA". It matches the Rfam family "Bacterial large subunit ribosomal RNA", at positions 1348 to 2569 of the family's 2925-position model. The record is from RNAcentral.
AGGUUUUUGGAGGAAGGUUCGUCCGCUCCAAGUUAGUCGGGAGCUAAGGUGAGGCCGGAAGGCGUAGCCGAUGCACAGACGGUAGAGAUUCCGUCACCACCAAAAGAGUUAAGCACAGGGACACAUUCAAAGUCUCAGAGCCGGGUGUUGGUUCCGGUAGAGAUCGAGGGAAAAUAGUACCGAAGUCUGGGAUGGAGGAUGGCGAGAAAAGCUGUGUGUAUUUCUGCGGUGCCCGUACCGCAAACCGACACAGGUAGGUAGGAAGAAGAUUCUAAGGCCAACGGGAGAAGGGUUGUUAAGGAACUCGGCAAAUUGACCCCGUAACUUCGGGAGAAGGGGUGCUCUAGCAAUAGAGCCGCAGAGAAUCGGCCCAAGCAACUGUUUACCAAAAACACAGGUUUGUGCUAAAUCGAAAGAUGACGUAUACGAGCUGACGCCUGCCCGGUGCUGGAAGGUUAAGAGGAGAUGUGCAAGCAUUGAAUCGAAGCCCCAGUAAACGGCGGCCGUAACUAUAACGGUCCUAAGGUAGCGAAAUUCCUUGUCAGGUAAGUUCUGACCCGCAUGAAAGGCGUAAUGAUUUGGGCACUGUCUCAACAGCCCGCCCGGCGAAAUUGUAGUACCGGUGAAGAUGCCGGUUACCCGCGACAAGACGGAAAGACCCCAUGGAGCUUUACUGUAGCUUGAUAUUGGGUUUCGGUAAUUUAUGUACAGGAUAGGCGGGAGACUAGGAAGCCAGUACGCCAGUAUUGGUGGAGUCGUCCUUGGGAUACCGCUCUUAAGUUGCUGGAAUUCUAACCUGCGGCCGUGAAUCCGGCCGGGGGACAUUGUCAGGUGGGCAGUUUGACUGGGGCGGUCGCCUCCAAAAGAGUAACGGAGGCGCUCAAAGGUUCGCUCAGCACGGACGGAAACCGUGCUUUUGAGUGUAAACGCAGAAGCGAGCCUGACUGCGAGGGUGACGGCCCGAGCAGAAACGAAAGUUGGAGUUAGUGAUCCGGCGGUAUGUGAAUGGAAAUGCCGUCGCUCAACGGAUAAAAGCUACCCUGGGGAUAACAGGCUGAUCUCCCCCAAGAGUCCACAUCGACGGGGAGGUUUGGCACCUCGAUGUCGGCUCAUCGCAUCCUGGGGCUGAAGUAGGUCCCAAG